Molecule: ribosomal RNA, 253 nt
Filed under: uncultured bacterium
Lineage: Bacteria
Description: partial 16S ribosomal RNA
Rfam family: Bacterial small subunit ribosomal RNA
Source: RNAcentral
UACAGGGGGGGCAAGCGUUGUUCGGAUUUACUGGGUGUAAAGGGCGCGCAGGCGGAUUGACAAGUCAGAGGUGAAAUCCUGCAGCUUAACUGCAGAACUGCCUUUGAAACUGUCAAUCUUGAGUACGGAAGAGAGAGACGGAAUUCCAGGUGUAGUGGUGAAAUACGUAGAUAUCUGGAAGAACACCAGUUGCGAAGGCGGUCUCUUGGUCCGUUACUGACGCUCAGGCGCGAAAGCGUGGGUAGCAAACAGG